RNAcentral lists this ribosomal RNA (253 nucleotides) under uncultured bacterium. RNAcentral describes it as "partial 16S ribosomal RNA". It matches the Rfam family "Bacterial small subunit ribosomal RNA", at positions 524 to 776 of the family's 1533-position model. The record is from RNAcentral.
UACGAAGGGGGCUAGCGUUGUUCGGCUUUACUGGGCGUAAAGCGCACGUAGGCGGAUUGUUAAGUCGGGGGUGAAAUCCUGGAGCUCAACUUCAGAAUUGCCUUCGAUACUGGCUUUCUAGAGGCUGGAAGAGGUUAGUGGAAUUCCCAGUGUAGAGGUGAAAUUCGUAGAUAUUGGGAAGAACACCAGUGGCGAAGGCGGCUAACUGGUCCAGAUCUGACGCUGAGGUGCGAAAGCGUGGGGAGCAAACAGG